AAUGAACGCUGGCGGCAUGCCUAACACAUGCAAGUCGAACGAAGGCUUCGUCCUUAGUUGCGCACGGGUGCGUAACGCGUGGGAAUCUGCCCCUUUGCUCGGAAUAACAGUUAGAAAUGACUGCUAAUACCGGAUGAUGACGUAUGUCCCAAGAUUUAUCGCCCAGGGAUGAGCCCGCGUAGGUCUAGCUAGUGGGUGUGGUAAGAGCGCACCAAGGCGACGAUCCUUAGCUGGUCUGAGAGGAUGGUCAGCCACACUGGGUCUGAGACGCGGCCCAGAAUCCUAGGGGAGGGAGGAGUGGGGGAUAUUGGAAAACGGGCGAAAGGCUGAACCAGCAAGGCCGCGUGAGUGAUGAAGGCGUUAGGGUUGUAAAGCACUUUUACCCGGGAUGAUAAUGACGGUACCGAGAGAAUAAGCUCCGGCUAACUCCGUG
This 433-nucleotide ribosomal RNA is filed under the name uncultured bacterium. RNAcentral describes it as "partial 16S ribosomal RNA". It matches the Rfam family "Bacterial small subunit ribosomal RNA", at positions 29 to 507 of the family's 1533-position model. The record is from RNAcentral.